RNAcentral lists this ribosomal RNA (301 nucleotides) under uncultured bacterium. RNAcentral's name for it is "partial 16S ribosomal RNA". It matches the Rfam family "Bacterial small subunit ribosomal RNA", at positions 509 to 807 of the family's 1533-position model. The record is from RNAcentral.
CAGCAGCCGCGGUAAUACGUAGGGUGCAAGCGUUAAUCGGAAUUACUGGGCGUAAAGCGUGCGCAGGCGGUUAUAUAAGACAGAUGUGAAAUCCCCGGGCUCAACCUGGGAACUGCAUUUGUGACUGUAUAGCUAGAGUACGGCAGAGGGGGAUGGAAUUCCGCGUGUAGCAGUGAAAUGCGUAGAUAUUCGGAGGAACACCGAUGGCGAAGGCAAUCCCCUGGGCCUGUACUGACGCUCAUGCACGAAAGCGUGGGGAGCAAACAGGAUUAGAUACCCGAGUAGUCCCUGUCUCUUAUAC